This 22-nucleotide non-coding RNA is filed under the name Arabidopsis thaliana (thale cress). The record is from RNAcentral. Lineage: Eukaryota; Viridiplantae; Streptophyta; Magnoliopsida; Brassicales; Brassicaceae.
CUGCCUAAGCACUUUUUCCCUC